This 401-nucleotide ribosomal RNA is filed under the name uncultured bacterium. RNAcentral's name for it is "bacterial SSU rRNA". It matches the Rfam family "Bacterial small subunit ribosomal RNA", at positions 29 to 416 of the family's 1533-position model. The record is from RNAcentral.
AAUCAACGCUGGCGGCGUGCCUAACACAUGCAAGUCGAACGCGAAAGUCCCGCAAGGGAUGAGUAGAGUGGCAAACGGGUGAGUAACACGUGGGUGACCUGCCUUCGAGCGGGGGAUAACGUCCCGAAAGGGACGCUAAUACCGCAUGACAUCCUGCCUUUGAAGAGGUGGAGAUCAAAGCUGGGGAUCGCAAGACCUAGCACUUGAAGAGGGGCCCGCGUCUGAUUAGCUAGUUGGUGGGGUAACGGCUCACCAAGGCAACGAUCAGUAUCCGGCCUGAGAGGGCGGACGGACACACUGGGACUGAGACACGGCCCAGACUCCUACGGGAGGCAGCAGUGGGGAAUCUUGCGCAAUGGGCGAAAGCCUGACGCAGCGACGCCGCGUGAGGGAUGACGGCC